AGACGGUUAGCUCAGUCAGUUGAGUGUGGCGCUAACAAGGUCAAGGUUGCGGGUUCAAUUCCCGUUCGGUCCC
Molecule: transfer RNA, 73 nt
Filed under: Apaloderma vittatum (bar-tailed trogon)
Lineage: Eukaryota; Metazoa; Chordata; Aves; Trogoniformes; Trogonidae
Rfam family: tRNA
About the family: Transfer RNA (tRNA) molecules are approximately 80 nucleotides in length. Their secondary structure includes four short double-helical elements and three loops (D, anti-codon, and T loops).
Source: Rfam by way of RNAcentral